ACGAACGCUGGCGGCGUGCUUAACACAUGCAAGUCGAACGGAAAGGCCCUGCUUUUGUGGGGUGCUCGAGUGGCGAACGGGUGAGUAACACGUGAGUAACAUGCCCUUGACUUUGGGAUAACUUCAGGAAACUGGGGCUAAUACCGGAUAGGAGCUCCUGCUGCAUGGUGGGGGUUGGAAAGUUUCGGCGGUUGGGGAUGGACUCGCGGCUUAUCAGCUUGUUGGUGGGGUAGUGGCUUACCAAGGCUUUGACGGGUAGCCGGCCUGAGAGGGUGACCGGCCACAUUGGGACUGAGAUACGGCCCAGACUCCUACGGGAGGCAGCAGUGGGGAAUAUUGCACAAUGGGCGGAAGCCUGAUGCAGCAACGCCGCGUGCGGGAUGACGGCCUUCGGGUUGUAAACCGCUUUCGCCUGUGACGAAGCGUGAGUGACGGUAAUGGGUAAAGAAGCACCGGCUAACUACGUG
Molecule: ribosomal RNA, 467 nt
Filed under: uncultured bacterium
Lineage: Bacteria
Description: partial 16S ribosomal RNA
Rfam family: Bacterial small subunit ribosomal RNA
Source: RNAcentral